RNAcentral lists this ribosomal RNA (494 nucleotides) under uncultured bacterium. RNAcentral describes it as "partial 16S ribosomal RNA". It matches the Rfam family "Bacterial small subunit ribosomal RNA", at positions 28 to 507 of the family's 1533-position model. The record is from RNAcentral.
GACGAACGCUGGCGGCGUGCUUAACACAUGCAAGUCGAACGGUGAAGCGCCUUCCUUUUUGGUGGGUGUGGAUGAGUGGCGAACGGGUGAGUAACACGUGAGUAACCUGCCCCCUUCUUCUGGAUAACCGCAUGAAAGUGUGGCUAAUACGGGAUAUUCUGGGUCUGUCGCAUGAUGGGUCUGGGAAAGAUAUUGUUUCGGUGGGGGAUGUGCUCGCGGCCUAUCAGGUUGUUGGUGGGGUGAUGGCCUACCAAGGCGGUGACGGGUAGCCGGCCUGAGAGGGUGGACGGCCACACUGGGACUGAGACACGGCGCAGACUCCGACGGGAGGCAGCAGUGGGGAAUAUUGCACAAUGGGCGCAAGCCUGAUGCAGCGACGCCGCGUGAGGGAUGGAGGCCUUCGGGUUGUGAACCUCUUUCGCCAGUGAAGCAGGCCUGCCUCGUUUGUGGGUGGGUUGACGGUAGCUGGAUAAGAAGCGCCGGCUAACUACGUG